Molecule: long non-coding RNA, 808 nt
Organism: Thunnus maccoyii (southern bluefin tuna)
Lineage: Eukaryota; Metazoa; Chordata; Actinopteri; Scombriformes; Scombridae
Exons: 3
Source: RefSeq, a predicted model, not a curated record
CUACGCAUCUUAGAUGUGCGUCCUUCCUCUUCCUGGAGCCUGAUUUUCAUGUCGGCAGUGUGGUUUGGCGUAGCUGUGUCGGAUCCACGUGGCUGUCUUAAGAUGCUGGUUGUCGAAUUUCCUCCGUUCACUUUUGUCAGCAUUCUGGCUGGAGGUUAAGAGUGGGCAGUGUGUGGCCUUGGAGCCGUGUGUAAUAAUUCACGUGCUGCGUUGGGUUCCUGAAGUAGGCUGGCUGGUUUCUGUCUGGUGUUUUUAUGCGCUUUUGUUUGGCUGCACGUGACGUGACUCUGGUCUCUGAUUGCUGUUAUUAAGCUGCAUCCCUUCGCGGCGACCUCCCCUGUUUCCUGGGAAGCUGCUCCUUCACUGACUGCAGGUGGCUCAACCUCUGAAGCAGGCCUCUGCGCUCCAGCUACUGCUGUUCUGUCUGUGGGUUCGCCUCGGCAAGCUCACUGCUCGUCUGCAUUUGUUUUCACUGCUAUUGUUUCUUUUGUUUUUUUUUUGGCUUUUAAACGCAUCGUUGUGUGUGUGUGUGUGUGUGUGUGCGUGCUCGCUGCCUUGCACGCCUGGAGUAGAUUCCGCUGGACGAGAUUUGAGUGUUGGUAGCACCGCAUGUGGUGCUGUCUCUGUAGAGGAAAUUAACGUAGUGUAGGAUUUAAAGCUGCACCAGGAAAACUGAUCCUCACCAGCUAACCUAUCAAUCUUUGGUUAAUUAUUGUUUUUUUGUAUUGUAAUUAGAUAUUCAUUGUUAUUAUUUAUAGAUUUUGUGAUCAUUCAUCGUUAUUUUCUGUAGAUUUUGUGUUUAGUUAUU